This 486-nucleotide ribosomal RNA is filed under the name uncultured beta proteobacterium. Its description in RNAcentral is "bacterial SSU rRNA". It matches the Rfam family "Bacterial small subunit ribosomal RNA", at positions 30 to 509 of the family's 1533-position model. The record is from RNAcentral. Lineage: Bacteria; Pseudomonadati; Pseudomonadota; Betaproteobacteria.
AUUGAACGCUGGCGGCAUGCCUUACACAUGCAAGUCGAACGGCAGCACGGGAGCAAUCCUGGUGGCGAGUGGCGAACGGGUGAGUAAUAUAUCGGAACGUGCCCAGUCGUGGGGGAUAACGCAGCGAAAGCUGUGCUAAUACCGCAUACGAUCUAUGGAUGAAAGCGGGGGACCGUAAGGCCUCGCGCGAUUGGAGCGGCCGAUAUCAGAUUAGCUAGUUGGUGGGGUAAAGGCUCACCAAGGCGACGAUCUGUAGCUGGUCUGAGAGGACGACCAGCCACACUGGAACUGAGACACGGUCCAGACUCCUACGGGAGGCAGCAGUGGGGAAUUUUGGACAAUGGGCGCAAGCCUGAUCCAGCAAUGCCGCGUGCAGGAUGAAGGCCUUCGGGUUGUAAACUGCUUUUGUACGGAGCGAGAAGGCUUCUCUUAAUACGAGGGGCUCAUGACGGUACCGUAAGAAUAAGCACCGGCUAACUACGUGCC